Molecule: non-coding RNA, 23 nt
Filed under: Cricetulus griseus (Chinese hamster)
Lineage: Eukaryota; Metazoa; Chordata; Mammalia; Rodentia; Cricetidae
Source: RNAcentral
AAAGUUGUCACGUAGGUUCAAGC